RNAcentral lists this ribosomal RNA (62 nucleotides) under Paenibacillus amylolyticus. The record is from RNAcentral. Lineage: Bacteria; Bacillati; Bacillota; Bacilli; Caryophanales; Paenibacillaceae.
UUUGGUGGCGAUAGCGAAGGGGUUCCACACGUUCCCAUCCCGAACACGACCGUUAAGCCCUU